Molecule: long non-coding RNA, 98 nt
Organism: Octodon degus (degu)
Lineage: Eukaryota; Metazoa; Chordata; Mammalia; Rodentia; Octodontidae
Exons: 3
Source: RefSeq, a predicted model, not a curated record
ACUUGUUUUAUGGUCUAGCAUGUAUCCUGUCCUCGAGAAGUGCUGUGUACUCGUGAGAAUGCGUGUUGUGCUGUCGUUGGGUCCCACUUUGGAGGAGC